CGCUUUCUAUUUCUUCUUUAUUUCACAUCGUCAUAUAUAUUUCUUCUUCGUUUCACAUUGCCUUGUUUCAAUCGUUAAAAGCUUUUCAAGAUGUUAUGGGUUCCGAGUCUGUGCAACUAUCAAGUUCUUCUUCUCAUUCUAGGAGGAGAAGGAUGCAUUGUUACUGUGGGUUGGAUUCACCUUUUGUGACUGCAUGGACAUCUCAGAAUCCAGGGUGAAGGUUAUAUGAUUGUGGGUUGUACAAGGAAAGUAUGUUCAUUUUUUGAAUGGUAUGGUGAGCAAAUUUAAGACUUGUCAUAGGAAGUGAUUAACUCACUUUUGAAGGAGAAUUGAAGAAGAGUGGUGGUUCAGCUAAGGAGAUCGAUGAUGAAUUCAAAAAGAAGAUCAAGAUUUUGGUUAUUGCUUUGGUUUUGUCUUGAGUUUUGAUCAUCAUUUUGAUCACAAAAAACUUGAUGUAAUUUUGUAGAACAAGUUGUGAUGAUGUUAUAGUUAUGUUACUAUCAAGGUAUUGUAAUGAGGAUUUUUUGUAAUGUUAUUGGGAUUUUAAUGAGGUUAUCUUGUAAACUCAAUGUAUAAUGAGGUUAAUUUAUAAUAUUAAUGAUAUUUGGAUGAA
Molecule: long non-coding RNA, 613 nt
Organism: Lathyrus oleraceus (garden pea)
Lineage: Eukaryota; Viridiplantae; Streptophyta; Magnoliopsida; Fabales; Fabaceae
Exons: 2
Source: RefSeq, a predicted model, not a curated record